This 253-nucleotide ribosomal RNA is filed under the name uncultured prokaryote. Its description in RNAcentral is "partial 16S ribosomal RNA". It matches the Rfam family "Bacterial small subunit ribosomal RNA", at positions 524 to 776 of the family's 1533-position model. The record is from RNAcentral.
GACGAAGGUGGCGAGCGUUACUCGGAAUCACUAGGCGUAAAGCGCGUGUAGGCGGAUGCUUAAGUCCGACGUGAAAUUUCCCGGCUUAACCGGGAAGGGUCGUCGGAUACUGGGCAUCUUGAGUGAAGCAGGGGAUGCCGGAAUUCCUGGUGUAGCGGUGAAAUGCGCAGAUAUCAGGAGGAACACCCGUGGCGAAGGCGGGCAUCUGGGCUUCUACUGACGCUGAGACGCGAAAGCUAGGGGAGCAAACAGG